CAAAGAGGAAGACGGUCAUGGUAAUCCUCCGAAACAGCUUUAACGUCUCCUCGGGAUCCUAUUUGUUUUGCCCUCUGUGCUUCAAUCGUAUGGAUGAAGUCGUGUUUUUUCUUCUCCUGUAACCCCUAGAAACAAGAAAAUGGUGGGGCAUGUGCGUUGACUGUCUAGACCAAACCCUGCUGUACUGUAUUAUGUGAAACGGAUCUCUCCAAACCCAAGCUCAAGCAGGAAGCCCUGACAUCCCAGCAGACUGGAUGAAAGACUAAUGGGAUCUCUCACCAUCACAACGUAGACUCACAGGUCAUGUGGACGGAUGCAGUUUCUACAACACCCGAGUGAAUACUGAGAUGAAAAGUCUACAGUGGGGUCCAAAAUGGACAGCCUUUAUAAAGAUGAGCAAUAAUGACCGUAUGAAGUAAAUCAUUCAAAUACUGAGCUAUAUUGUACGCUCCAACAAAUUGGGAAGUUAUACUAUUUGGUGCUAGUUCAAUUGCGCAGAGAAAGACAUUUUGUGUAACAAGGUAGGGGUCAAAAUGAUUGAUUGUUUAGUAUUUUGUACCAUAUUCCUAGCACGCAAUGACUACAUCAAGAUCGUGACUCUACAAACUUGUUGGAUGCAUUUGCAGUUUGUUUUGGUUGUGUUUCAGAUGAUCUUAUGCCCAAUAGAAAUGAAUAGUCAAUCAUCUAUUGUCAUUUUGGAGUCCUUUUUAAUUGGUAAUAAGUAUAUAAUUUGUUAAACACUUUUACAUAAAUGUGGAUGCCACCAUAAUUAUGAAUAAUCCUGAAUGAAUUGUGAAUAAUGAUGAGUGAGAAGGUUACAGAGAGUCAAAGAUCAUACCCCCAAGACAUACUAACCUAGCAUGUCUGGUGGUAUGAUCUUUGACAAAUUUCAGACCCCACUGUAUUUCCACAUCAUAUGCUGUAAGCUGGAAUGUUGUUGUCAUCAUAUGGGAAAGAUACCUGCCCUGGGUGAAAAAUACCCUUCUCUAUGUUUCAGGCUUUAAUCCUCCAUGUAACAAUAAGUUCAUGUUUAUUUGUAGUAUAUAGAUAUGUAAUGUAUGCUUCAGGAUAUACAGGUUGGAAAUAUAUGUAAAUCCUUAGGUAAUGUUUAUCACGUUUCAGGUAAGACCCAAAUGCAAACUGUGUUGAAGUAAAUAUGUGUAUUACAGCAACAGGGGCAGGCAAAUGACAGGUCAUGGGGUCGAUAAUCCAGAGUAGUGGCAAAGGCACAGGACGGCAGGCAGGCUCAGGGUCAGGUCAGCCAGAGGUCGGUAAUCCAGAGUAGGUGCAAAGGCACAGGACGAUAGGGAGGCUCAGGGGCAUGGGCAUGCAGAGUUGUCGGGCAGGCGGGCUCAGAGUCAGGACAGGCAAAGGUCAAAACCAGGGGAGCAAGAAAAAGAGAGACUGUGGAAAAACAGGAACUGAGACAAACUGCUGGUUGACUUGACAAACAAGAC
Oncorhynchus gorbuscha (pink salmon) is the source of this 1457-nucleotide long non-coding RNA. RefSeq lists it as uncharacterized. The record is from RefSeq and is a predicted model, not a curated record. The transcript has 3 exons. Lineage: Eukaryota; Metazoa; Chordata; Actinopteri; Salmoniformes; Salmonidae.